ACGUGAAGAAGGUGAAGAUGGCGGUGGCCAGGGCCGGGGUCCUGGGAGUUCAGUGGCUGCAAAGGGCAUCCCGGAACGUGGUGCCGCUGGGCGCACGGACAGCCUCCCGCAUGACCAAGGACAUGUUCCCAGGGCCCUAUCCUAGGACCCCAGAAGAACGGGCCGACGCCGCCAAGAAGUAUAAUAUGCGUAUGGAAGACUACGAGCCUUACCCGGAUGAGGGCAUGGGGUAUGGCGACUACCCGAAGCUCCCUGACCGUUCACAGCAUGAGAGGGAUCCAUGGUAUAGCUGGGACCAACCGGACCUGAGGUUGAACUGGGGUGAACCGAUGCACUGGCACGUAGACAUGUACACCAGGAACCGUGUGGAUACAUCCCCCACACCUGUUUCUUGGAAUGUCAUGUGUAUGCACCUCUUCGGUUUCCUGGCUUUCAUGACAUUCAUGUUCUGGGUGGGGGACGUGUACCCUUCCUACCAGCCUGUGGGACCAAAGCAGUAUCCUUACAAUAAUCUGUACCUGGAACGAGGCGGCGAUCCCUCCAAAGAACCUGAGCCAGUGGUUCACUAUGAGAUCUGAGGAGGCUUCGUGGGCUUUUGUGUCCUCUUAACUAGGACUCCCUCAUUCCUAGAAAUUUAAUCUUAAUGAAAUCCCUAGUAAAACUCAGUGCUGUGGUAAAAAAAAAAAAAAAAAAAGAAAAAGAAAA
Macaca mulatta (Rhesus monkey) is the source of this 705-nucleotide RNA transcript. It is a transcript of the gene named NADH dehydrogenase [ubiquinone] 1 beta subcomplex subunit 8, mitochondrial pseudogene, with no coding region annotated. Lineage: Eukaryota; Metazoa; Chordata; Mammalia; Primates; Cercopithecidae. The record is from RefSeq and is a predicted model, not a curated record.